Molecule: long non-coding RNA, 1281 nt
Organism: Poecilia latipinna (sailfin molly)
Lineage: Eukaryota; Metazoa; Chordata; Actinopteri; Cyprinodontiformes; Poeciliidae
Exons: 3
Source: RefSeq, a predicted model, not a curated record
UGCAAAAGGUUUAUUUGCAUACUCGCCGAGGAAUUGGAAAGCUGUCACGUCUAUUUGUGCUGGUAAUUAGUGGCACCUAAAGCAACAAUGGCCUAGGUCUGCAGGAUGUCGACAAAGAGGAGAGUGUAAACAUUAAAAACAGACAUUUGUCUUCCUUAAAUGAUAAAAAAAUUGUAAUUUCUUUUCUAGGUGCAACCAAUAAUCUUACUGUCACCUAAGGAGAUACAAGAUGUAUAUAUUUAUAGAGAUUAAACUACAGUGGUGCAGCCAAUAAAAAAAAAUGUUUUAUUUAUAAUGUACAAUCUCCACUGUUUGUUUAACAGACUGAGCUACAGUCCGACCCUUAAGGCUGCAGAAGAUGAGCUCUAACAGUCUGUCAGCGACCUUUCUUAGCUUUCUUCCUGAUCAAAGUCUUCACUCAGCAUCACCCGCAGGUCCCAACCCUCAGUCCUUUACACUCGAUGCGCUGGAGAACAAAGGCUGGAGAAGGACGUGCAGAGGAGACGGGAGAAAGUGAGACCGAAAAAAAAAGAAGAGAACAGGGAUAGAUGGGCCUGGGAGGUCAUGUUUGAUGAGAACUCUGGAUCUCCUGCAGAUACACAAUGAGAAAAGGUCAGCUCAGCUCAUCCGAUACAGAAACGUGAAGGAGGCGAGUAGAGGACAAAAGACCGGGUGGAAGCGAUCUGAAGACUCGUGAAGAGAAGGAGGAGGAGGAGGAAGAAGCGGAGGAGGAGGAGGGAGGUUGAGACUGAAGGGGAACCUCAUCGGACAGGCGAAGCAGCUUCAAUUAAGAUUGGUCAACAGAUAAAACGCCUCACGUGUUUGUGUGGGACAGUGUGACGACCUCAAUCAUUGUGAUGUUUGAAGUGAGCAGUGAAAGUGUCCUCUGUGUUAUUGUGAGUCCAUACAUAUGCAUCCGCUUUUGUGUAUCCAUGCAGCUGUUUUUGUGUCUGUAUUUUAGAGGCCAGAGGAAUGUCAGCAUGCAGUUAAUGUGCAUAACCUGAGAGCAUCCGUACCGAAUUCCAGAUGUUGCUUCACCAUCUAAGAAGACUCCAGGGAGCAGUUUGGAGUCCCAGACAGACAGCUCUCAGAGGUUAUAUUCUCCAUUCUUCAAGGCUCACUGCUCACAGCGAGGGAUCUGUUCUCACCGCCCACCAGUCUGGGACCUUAAAGACCUGUAACGAUGGACUGCUAGCAUGGCUUUAUCCUCUUAGACCGAGUGAAAGCGGAUAGAAUACGAGACACAAAUCUGCCUUAAGAAUUUCAUUGGAGAUUUUCUGU